Molecule: ribosomal RNA, 330 nt
Filed under: uncultured bacterium
Lineage: Bacteria
Description: bacterial SSU rRNA
Rfam family: Bacterial small subunit ribosomal RNA
Source: RNAcentral
GAUGAACGCUAGCGGCAGGCUUAACACAUGCAAGUCGAGGGGCAGCACGAGGUAGCAAUACUUCGGUGGUGAGCGGCGAACGGGUGAGUAACACGUAGGUGAUCUGCCCAUCAGACGGGGACAACGAUUGGAAACGAUCGCUAAUACCGGAUAGGACGAAAGUUUAAAGGUGCUUCUGGCACCGCUGAUGGAUGAGCCUGCGGCGCAUUAGCUAGUUGGUAGGGUAAAGGCCUACCAAGGCGACGAUGCGUAGCCGACCUGAGAGGGUGAACGGCCACACUGGGACUGAGACACGGCCCAGACUCCUACGGGAGGCAGCAGUAGGGAAUC